RNAcentral lists this long non-coding RNA (1461 nucleotides) under Scleropages formosus (Asian bonytongue). RNAcentral describes it as "lncRNA (ENSSFOG00015027694.1)". Lineage: Eukaryota; Metazoa; Chordata; Actinopteri; Osteoglossiformes; Osteoglossidae. The record is from RNAcentral.
AAGAAGGUCAGUCCUUUCGGCGUUCUAGCGGGUGCAUCUGUGGGUUUGGGAAACGGAGCACGCUGACCCGUGCGUACACGUUCCAGUCACGCCACGUCUGUGUGCCAUGUGCUUGGCGCGUGCUCAGUUUCACUUUCACUUUGCUCGAGCGAAGCGUGUCAGGGCUCCGCCGGAGACACGCUUACACGACACAAAUGAUCAUUUUCAGGACUCCUCUCGUUUUCCUGGCGAGGAUGAGCAUGACAGCGCGUGCAAACAAAUGUGAAAUGGGGCACGGCCAGGCCCGAACGCCCACGAACGUUUCCCCGAGCGUGACAGAGGGGGUCGUUCGGGCCGGACACAAAGUAGGAUACCCCACCAGCAUGUUGUGGAGCGCUUCUAGAACAUUUCAGUCGCUGCCCCCCUCUGCUUUUCUUUUUUGGCGCAGCCUUUUGUUCAGCAGAGGAGAGGGGAGCUGGGCCCAUCCUCAUGACGUCCGGUUGCGCAUUCCUUUCUUUUCCAGCGCCGGUGUGUCGACACGGGUGCGAGAGAGCAGAGGGAAAGGUGGGGAGGAGAGGGGACUGGUUGUGCAACCUCCGCCGCCGUUGCGCAAGAUGCCAGCAUUCAGGUGCGAGGCCUCCUGGCUGUAAGCGAGCCGCAUCUAGGAACGCGAUAUGUGCCGGACCGCCCGGUGAGGUCAUUGCUCCUAAAUAGCUGGGGAACCAGCGGCCGCGUGGCAGAGAAGGGAGCCCUUGCGCAACACUCCUGGUCCAGGCGCCAAACACCUCACCGGGUCCAGAUGAAGGCCGUGCAGCUGCAUCCUGCCCCGGCGACCAUGCCAGAAAUCUGCAUUGCGGUGGCCCUAAGGAGAGCUCGCCAUCGGAGCCUGGAGCAGAGCGCACGGUUAGGGGGUCCGGCAUCGAUGAGCCAAAGUGCCUGAAAUCCCUGCUCGGAAGUGUGAAACAGCAUUCCGAGUGACAGCGACGCCCUGGUGAGGCAUCGCGAUGUGCAACUCCUGGCAACGAGGCCCCCUCCCGCUGCAAUAGCGCAUGGCUGAACCUCACGGUGCCGUAACGAGUGGCAAUCGUUCUGCAAUGCCGGCGACCGAGGCUUAGUAACCGCUGCCUGGCAGACGCAUUUGCUCUGCUGACUCGCGGCUGGAGGAAGGCGCGCGAGAGCGGGCAGGGAGACCGCAGGGCCGACGGGACGCACGGGGUCAAGGGAGCGUUGCACCAGCGCUUCGGAGAAAUGACCAGCGAGCAAGUUUUUGGAAGCCACCUCAGGAGGACUGAAUCAUCAAAUGCCUUCGCUAUGAGGAUUCAUGCCUAGUUUAUAAACAAAGCAUCGACCACGUUUAACAUCAACCAACAUAGGCGAGUUUGCGGAAGCCGUCGGAGAUGGAGUUACGUCACCGUAUACCUUUAACCCGAGGAUCCAUCGAAAGAGAAUAAACAUAGUAGUUUUGACGAUUUCUAAGCCGAU